RNAcentral lists this ribosomal RNA (273 nucleotides) under uncultured bacterium. Its description in RNAcentral is "partial 16S ribosomal RNA". It matches the Rfam family "Bacterial small subunit ribosomal RNA", at positions 524 to 796 of the family's 1533-position model. The record is from RNAcentral.
UACGAAGGGUGCAAACGUUGCUCGGAAUCAUUGGGCGUAAAGCGCACGUAGGCGGCUUCGCAAGUCGGAUGUGAAAUCCCACGGCUCAACCAUGGACGUGCAUCCGAAACUGCGGGGCUUGAGUACUGAAGAGGAUCGCGGAAUUCCCGGUGUAGAGGUGAAAUUCGUAGAUAUCGGGAGGAACACCAGUGGCGAAGGCGGCGAUCUGGGCAGAUACUGACGCUGAGGUGCGAAAGCGUGGGGAGCAAACAGGAUUAGAAACCCCAGUAGUCC